RNAcentral lists this ribosomal RNA (457 nucleotides) under Mesalina balfouri. RNAcentral describes it as "partial 12S ribosomal RNA". It matches the Rfam family "Bacterial small subunit ribosomal RNA", at positions 794 to 1482 of the family's 1533-position model. Lineage: Eukaryota; Metazoa; Chordata; Lepidosauria; Squamata; Lacertidae. The record is from RNAcentral.
GCUAAGCCCUAAACAUUGAAAAGCAUAAUACCAUGCUUUCCGCCAGAGAAUUACGAGCAACAAGCUUAAAACUCAAAGGACUUGACGGUGUCCCACAUCGACCUAGAGGAGCCUGUCCUAUAAUCGAUACCCCCCGUUCCACCCAACCCUUACUAGCAAUAUCAGCCUAUAUACCGCCGUCGACAGUCUACCCCAUGAGGGUUAAACAGUAGAUAUAAUAGUUAAUAACUAAUACGUCAGGUCAAGGUGUAGCAAAUGUAGGGGAAGAGAUUGGCUACAUUUUUUAUUCUAAAAAACACGAAAUGCACUAUGAAACAAUGCAUGAAGGCGAAUUUAGCAGUAAAAUAAACAAGAGUGUUUAUUUUAACAUCGCUCUGGGACGCGUACACACCGCCCGUCACCCUCCUCAAGCCCUAUAACAACAUCUAUAAAUAAAACCCCCGGCACAAGAGGAGGU